GACGAACGCUGGCGGCGUGCUUAACACAUGCAAGUCAAGGGGGCCCAGCAAUGGGCAACCGGCGAACGGGUGCGUAACACGUGAGCAACCUACCGAACUGUGGGGGAUAGCCGGCCUAACGGCCGAGUAAUACCGCAUACGCUCUCAGAGAGGCAUUUCUUUGAGAGGAAACCUACGGGACAGAUCGAGGGGCUCGCGGCCUAUCAGCUAGUUGGCGGGGUAACGGCUCACCAAGGCAACGACGGGUAGCUGGUCUGAGAGGAUGGCCAGCCACAUUGGGACUGAGAUACGGCCCAGACUCCUACGGGAGGCAGCAGUGGGGAAUUUUGGACAAUGGGGGCAACCCUGAUCCAGCCAUGCCGCGUGAGUGAAGAAGGCCUUCGGUUGUAAGUA
This 393-nucleotide ribosomal RNA is filed under the name uncultured bacterium. RNAcentral describes it as "bacterial SSU rRNA". It matches the Rfam family "Bacterial small subunit ribosomal RNA", at positions 28 to 430 of the family's 1533-position model. The record is from RNAcentral.